CAGUACGUAUCGUGAGAAUCGCAGUACGUAUCGUGAGAAUCGCAGUACAUCGGCACCUUGGUAUUGGGAUUUCCCUAUUUACUAGCCCAUACUGUCCACGCUGACAGUAUUUGGUCAUGCUAUGCUAAUAUCACACUCUUCAUUAAGUGUUCAAUCAAUCAAAUGUAUUUAUAAAGCCAUUUUUGUUUUACAUCAGCAGAGGUCACAGUGGCUUAUAAAUAACCAGAUGAAAAGCUCAGAGCAGUGCAGAGGCAGAGGUCACAGUGGCUUAUAAAUAACCAGAUGAAAAGCUCAGAGUAGUGCAGAGGUCACAGUGGCUUAUAAAUAACCAGAUGAAAAGCUCAGAGUAGUGCAGAGGUCACAGUGGCUUAUAAAUAACCAGAUGAAAAGCUCAGAGUAGUGCAGAGGUCACAG
Long non-coding RNA from Oncorhynchus keta (chum salmon), 414 nucleotides. RefSeq lists it as uncharacterized. The transcript has 3 exons. NCBI's taxonomy places the organism in Eukaryota, Metazoa, Chordata, Actinopteri, Salmoniformes, Salmonidae. The record is from RefSeq and is a predicted model, not a curated record.